Molecule: transfer RNA, 71 nt
Filed under: Kapsa arca
Lineage: Eukaryota; Metazoa; Arthropoda; Insecta; Hemiptera; Cicadellidae
Description: tRNA-Lys
Source: RNAcentral
UAUUAGGUUACUCAAAGCGAGUACUGGUCUCUUAAACCAAUUUAUAGUAAUUAUGCGUCUACUUCUAAUAA